GUACUGUUUUCUAUAAUUUCGCGCAUGCGUACUACCGUCUCGAAUCUCGCCCAUGCGUACUGCCGUCUAUAAUGUCGCUCAUGCGUACUGCAUUCUCGCCGCAUACAGCUGUAGUUCCGCGCAUUGGCCACCUGGCGGUAGCAGAGACAGUGGAAUGAAAUACUCCGACGAGAUUGCUGCGGAUCCUCGGCGCAGUCCCUAGCGAUCCGUUCUCUCUUGUGAUGACGGGGGAAGAAUACGAAGUUAGAAGGGGGGCAAAGACGAAGAAAACAGACGAAAAGUACUCCAAGCCCAUGAAAGCUGUGCUAAGUGCUUAUGAAUAUCUGUAAAAAUGAAAAAGGGAAUUUUUUUUCUUUUUGCCACCAUCUGUUGCAUUGUUUCAAAUAUUCACAUACCAAAAUGUAACUGCCCAGCAUAUUUAAUGAUAACGAAAUUAAAGCAUGCUGGCAGAAAGUACCAGGCCAUAUUAAUGUUCGCUCACCCUCUGUCUUGUUCGUACUUUAAUGUCUUUGUUUCCAAGCGCUUUUCUUCAACUCCGAGUUUCACUUCUGUCUUUUUAUUCUUUUUAAUGCCAUAAAAUGGAUAGCUUUAGGCCCUAGCAUGUCUAAACAGGCAGACACUGCAUAAAGCUGCAGUUCUGAGAUUUGUGUGGACCAUUACAUUGUUUCCACAAAGAUUAAUGAAAACUGCAGUUCUUCACCUCAGUUUACAGAUGGAAAAAAUUAAUUCACCUGCAUAGAAGGAAUCAGUGUGUCACAGCUGCCUUUGGCAAGAUGGUCUGAGAGUUAUGCAGGUCCAUCAGGCUCAGCUACAGCUUUUCAUCUGCCCUUCCUCCUGCAACCAGAGAGAUAGCCCACACGGGCAUGGGGUAUGCAGACCCUCCCCAGUCAACUGCAGCAGUCGCUCCUGCCAGCACUCCCUUUCCCCCAGAUCAUUGCCAUUUCACAGGCUGGAGCCCUAUGUGGCAGAAGAGGAGAGAGCUACAGGCAGAAGUAAAACAGGGUGCUGGGAUUCCUCCAUCCUGCUGCCAGAUGUCUUCUCUGGCAUUCUGGGGGUGGGCAGGGGACUGUGGGAGCACCCUCGAGGCUCUGGGCAGGAUGGUAGGAAGCAAAGAUGCAGCUGCAGGCAGUGGGCUGUGGGCUGGAGCAGUGCAGCCAGGCACAGCCGCACGGCUCACAGUAUGGGCACACGGAGGAAGUUCAUCCAGCUGAGAGCUGCUGGGCUGUCCUUACCAUGCACUCUCCCAUCCUACAGGUCUGCACAGACUGCAGCAGUUGCUCAAGCAUUUUCCACUGCGGCAGCUCACAAGCGACAACUCCAACCUUGACCCAUACAGGGCUGGCAGCCAGAGAGGAAUUGUCUCUUUCUGGAGGCUGUGUCCUGUGGAUUGGUGGGUGAGCCCUGGUCCUUGGAAAGAGGUAGGUGAUUUUUUUAAAUUAUUAUUAUUUUUAUUGCAGGGUUUUGAUCUCUGCCUUUCUGAGAGGAUUCUAUGCUGGUUUAGGGUAGCUAUAUCUGCUAUGCCUGUCCUUAUGAUGCCCUUCAAUUGUUCUCUGAGAAAAAUGAAGGGGUUGUCUCCCUUUCUCUGACCUGGUAGUAGCGGAACUGACAUACAUUCAUUUCUUUUGUUAUUGUUUCAUUUCUGGAAUGCUUCAAUCAGCCCCAAGGUAACCCUGGUUGGCUUACUGAGCAUUGCAACUCCAGAAAUGCCUGGAGCUGGUGCUCUUUUCCAUAAAGGGGUUCUGUGCUUUCCAGAUCUUCUUUGCAACUCUUCUUAAACUCAAUACCUUCUCAUUAAGUCUCUGUUCCCUCUUUCA
Long non-coding RNA from Gallus gallus (chicken), 1814 nucleotides. RefSeq lists it as uncharacterized. The record is from RefSeq and is a predicted model, not a curated record. NCBI's taxonomy places the organism in Eukaryota, Metazoa, Chordata, Aves, Galliformes, Phasianidae. The transcript is spliced from 2 exons.